RNAcentral lists this non-coding RNA (77 nucleotides) under Flavobacteria bacterium BAL38. RNAcentral's name for it is "Flavo-1 RNA". It matches the Rfam family "Flavo-1 RNA". The record is from Rfam by way of RNAcentral. Lineage: Bacteria; Pseudomonadati; Bacteroidota; Flavobacteriia; Flavobacteriales.
UUUUAGACCCGAUAGAAGCGACAUCCUUUAUUGCUUUUUUUAAUGCAAUAAAGAUAUAGCGCAUAGCGGGACCACUA